CCAGAAGCUAAAGGAUUCGCCGCCCACGAGCACCGUACCACGGAUCUCCGACGAGGGAGCGCCCACCACCCAUCGGAGAAUUGCCCAACGCCGAUCAAAAACGAAGCCGACCACCGUAUUCUCGCUAUGCUCGUCGGGUGUUCGACAAAAUGUUUAAACCGAAUAUACAUGCUAAGGAGAUUUAAUAUACUUGUCGUAAGUAUUUGGGGUUUUGCAGAAAAGAUGAGUUACCAAGCCAAUGAAAACCAAAUGCAUUUGGAUUUGUACACCGGCGCGCAACAUCAACUUUGGAUUCUAUACUCGGAACAUUUCUCUAUUAGGAUUGUUGUAGGUGAUGCUAAAUUUUGUAAGCAGCAAAGUAUUGUGAAAUUAUUGUAGUUUAAACACUGUUUGGUUUAAACUACAAUAAUAGAUGUAGCUUUUAAUCUACAACCAAAAAACAAGCAUGUACUGCUUUUAAUCAAUAUAUUACAUUAAGGAUAGAUGUAGCCUGAAGA
Long non-coding RNA from Alnus glutinosa, 497 nucleotides. RefSeq lists it as uncharacterized. Lineage: Eukaryota; Viridiplantae; Streptophyta; Magnoliopsida; Fagales; Betulaceae. The transcript is spliced from 3 exons. The record is from RefSeq and is a predicted model, not a curated record.